GAGCUGCUCCAGUGCGUUUUGGUAAUAAGGUUUGGAUAAACGGAACCCUUGAUACGAGUCAGGAACAACGAUGGUUUCAUAAUCUGUGGCUUUAAGUAGUUCCAGUUCCGGUUCGCUUUCAGCAGUGUGAUCGUGACCUGAAAUCGAUUAUCCAUCUAAAGAAAUCGGGGGAUACGUACUCAUACUUCGCUUUUUCACCAAUUCUAUGGCUGAUGCAACGGAAGUGUCCGCCAUGGUCGAUAGAAGCUUUUUGUUGCUCAGAACUUCGUUAAAAAAAUUUUGUAGCUGCAAAAGUAAAUGUCGGCUAAAACUUACUAGACCGAAUUGCGAAACGCAUACCUUUAAGUGAUCCUGCUCAUUAGCAUAUUCCAUUUUCUGCAAAAGCAAAUACGCAGCUAAACAGUUGGUCUUUUGCUUGCAAAAUUGGCCAUCUGCAGCAUAUUCCCGAUUAAUGGUGUAUAUGUUAAUGUUUUUCGUUCAGUGAUGUUGGAAAUGGUCGUACGUCCCGUAGAUUUGUUCAAAUAAACUACGCAACUGCUU
Long non-coding RNA from Paramacrobiotus metropolitanus, 540 nucleotides. RefSeq lists it as uncharacterized. The transcript is spliced from 3 exons. The record is from RefSeq and is a predicted model, not a curated record. Lineage: Eukaryota; Metazoa; Tardigrada; Eutardigrada; Parachela; Macrobiotidae.